CGACAGAGCAGUCUCGCGACUAUUGUAAAAGGGACAUUUCAAUCCUAUGUGAAACAUCCUCUUUGAGGGUAUAUAACCACCCUUAUACCCCCACUUCUUUGGAGUGCUCUGUUCCUUUGUGGAAAGACUCUCCCGGGUUAUAAUCCUCAGAUUUAAGCUCAGAAUAAACUCACCCAAAUUUUCAUUUAUAGAUUGGAUAUCGAUUAUUUUCGUCGACAGUUCUUGGCGUAGUCGCGGCAGGAUUUCAGAGAAACCCACCAGAGGCCACCUGGAAUCUACACUGAACCGGCAUUCGGUACCAAUAAGGGCCCAUUGAGCCCCCCGGAUCACUGCAUUCUUCAGGUGACCUUGUCGAGGUUAAGUUCAGGCUGGACCUGACCAGAACCUGGACCUCCUGUAAAUCGAAAACUUGGGUUUGUCUGUGCCUUUGUGAUGCAGUUGGACAGGUAGAUCAACCUGGAAUGUAAUUUGAGUUAAAACCCAGUUUCUGAGAAAUCAAGAGUUUUGGCAUAAAGACACAUUUGUUAUCUUACCAAAACUUUGACUGGAAUGUCAUGUUUGAGAGAAAGAUACAGACUCAGAUAUGACAAUACUGCCUUUGAGGAAUAAGGUUGACUUUCUGGAAAUAAAGCCACUUGGAAAUAUGGGCCUGGUACCUUGCUUUACAGAGAGAGAUUCCAGCAAUCUUACCUGAGAAGUCCCAGAACUAAAGGAUCAUGGACUGUAACCUGAAGAAUUUAUUUAUGGAAAGAGACAUCAAAUAAGACUCUUUGCAGCCCUGUUGAAAAGGACAAUACCAGGAGGAGAAGAAGACGACAUCUGUUGUAGACAGCUGUCCCAGACUCCGGACCAGGCCUGUAUUCC
This 864-nucleotide long non-coding RNA is filed under the name Equus asinus (donkey). RNAcentral describes it as "lncRNA (ENSEASG00005038324.1)". Lineage: Eukaryota; Metazoa; Chordata; Mammalia; Perissodactyla; Equidae. The record is from RNAcentral.